UUUUUUUUGUGUUUUUGAA
This 19-nucleotide small RNA is filed under the name Arabidopsis thaliana (thale cress). Its description in RNAcentral is "ATSL222460". The record is from RNAcentral. Lineage: Eukaryota; Viridiplantae; Streptophyta; Magnoliopsida; Brassicales; Brassicaceae.